Long non-coding RNA from Cygnus olor (mute swan), 2054 nucleotides. RefSeq lists it as uncharacterized. The transcript has 6 exons. The record is from RefSeq and is a predicted model, not a curated record. NCBI's taxonomy places the organism in Eukaryota, Metazoa, Chordata, Aves, Anseriformes, Anatidae.
CUUGAUGUUAUUAAAUGGUACUACCCAGAUAAAAAAUCUCCACCAAGUCCCACUAACCAAGAUUCCUGCUUGAGUCAAGCAAAUGCCCUUGCCCAGAGGUCUAUUACUUUUUUUUUUUUUUUCAGACAUAAAGCCACGAAUGCCUAUAUAAUUUUGAAAUAAGCUGCACUACUUGAGCUAACACCCUGAGAGUCUCAUCUGAAAACAUCUUUGCUGCUUCAAUAGUUCCAACUUGUUUUAUGUUCUCCAAGGUUUGUCUCAGAAACACUCAACCCAAGCACUCUGUUAGAAGGAAAAGGCCAGCAAAGAAUGAGUCCAUUCCCAUGCUCUGACAGUAAUAUUAGCCAAUAGGCUAAUUCAUCAGGAAGUACAACCACAAGCUGCUGUCUCUUCUCCUUUGAGAUGCAGUUGAAGGUUAAACUGUGUUGAUAUCAGCUGGCUGAUGUGGAUUGAAAAGUCUACUAAGGAGAAGUGGGCAGAUGGUAGUGACUGGGGCAAAAUCAUUCUUGGAACUGAUUGGCAGACUGAGUUUUUCAAUGAAGAGAGGACCUAGCAAUUUACCUUCUUGUCAUCAGGUCUGAGCUGACUCUUAGAGCUCCACAAAUCUUUCUCUACUGUCCCACAGCCAUGGAGACUAUUCAAGGCAUGUGCCUGGUGAGACCAGAGGUUGCCUUUCCAGCACCUUUCAUGGUCUGAUUAUAAGUUGUGAGCUCAUAUGAGUAGAAUGGUGUGAACCCCCAGCAACUUUGUCAAUGACACCAAGCUGUGUGGUGUCGUUGACAUGCUGGACGGAAGGGAUGCCAUUCAGAGGGACCUGGACAGGCUUGAGAGGUGGGCCUGUGUGAACCUCGUGGAGUUCAACAAGGCCAAGUGCAAACUCAUGGACUGAGAUUAACAAGGAAACAGAGACUGACACCAUUUACUACAAGCAGACUUGUGCCAACUUCCAAUUUCUGGAAUAGAAAAAUCAGUCUGAGGAUCUGGGAGAGAAAAUGAAGCAAUUAACAAGUAAAUUGAUUCCAACUGAUCUACUUGGAAAAGUGGCCAUCACUUCUCAGACCUUAGAAGAGCUUUGUUGUUGUCCACAAUUUACAUUGUCUGAUGCCAUUUAGUUACAAUAUUUAUAGGUAAUGUAAGUAUGUAAAUCUGAUAUGAAAGAAAUUAUAUAUUUUUUUCUUCUUAUUUGUUAUUUCUUGCAUUUUUUUGAAAUGAUAGUCUCAAGAAAUCCCAUCUAUCAGUGGUGCAAAAAAGUCAUUGUCACUUUGCCUAAAAAUAAGCUUACUGCAUUUGUAUUCUGCACUGAUACUGUACCUCACACAAACAACAUAUGAUCACCUUGAUAAGGAACAACUCAAAGUCAGCCCACCUUUUCAAGUAUUUUUAAAAAAGCUAUAUUUUUGAAAAUUUGGUAUCUGAUCUCAUAUGUUUUUCAUCUCAGUGUCCCUCUGAUAUCAAGCAUUUAUUUUCUGUGCUAAACUUUUUUUUUUCACAGAAAGAAAUAAAUAAGCCUGAUGAUUUCUGACAAGUCCACUCAUAUGGAAUUUAAAAAGCUUUUGUGGGAACUUACAAUAAACCUCAACACAAAAUUCCUUGGGUAGGAGGGGGAAAAAGAAUUAUUGACAGCUCAUAUUGGUUUGUGAAUAUUAGUCUUGAGAUCCAAAUCAGGUCCAAACUUUCUGUAGUCUAUAAUUAAUACCAGCAAUAACCCGAUGAUACUUCAGUAGUGCCAGAUCGUCCCCCACAGCUCAUAUGAGUUAUGGUAUCAUCAAAUCUACAUGUUCACAAAAGAUCCUACUUCAUCUGUAGGAAAAAAUGAACAAGUAAUCUUUAUGGUUGAAAGUCAAUUCAUUAAUCUUCCCUGUCAUAUAUCAAAAUGCUGCAUUUAGCAACGGUAGAUUUAGAAGUGAAAGUGUAGAAAGCAUGACUAUAAUAAUCAUAUAUUUCAUAUCAGGGUUAGUUAUGGGUCUGCAAUGCAGGAAAGGGAUAUCUUUUCACUCAGUUUGGUUCUGCCAGAAAAGAAUGUGUUCUAAAGUGAUUUAUUUAUUUAUUUUAAA